UACGUAGGCAGCGAGCGUUGUUCGGAAUUACUGGGCGUAAAGAGCGCGUAGGCGGCUCGAUAAGUUCUGUGUGAAAGCCCCCGGCUCAACUGGGGAGGGUCGCGGAAAACUGUCGGGCUGGAGUGUCGGAGAGGGAAGUGGAAGUCCCGGAGUAGGGGUGAAAUCCGUAGAGACCGGGCCGAACACCAGUGGCGAAGGCGACUUCCUGGUCCAGCACCGACGUUCAGGCACGAAAGCGUGGGGAGCAAACAGG
Molecule: ribosomal RNA, 253 nt
Filed under: uncultured bacterium
Lineage: Bacteria
Description: partial 16S ribosomal RNA
Rfam family: Bacterial small subunit ribosomal RNA
Source: RNAcentral